Long non-coding RNA from Oncorhynchus tshawytscha (Chinook salmon), 1493 nucleotides. The record is from Ensembl. Lineage: Eukaryota; Metazoa; Chordata; Actinopteri; Salmoniformes; Salmonidae.
CCUUGAGUCGCAAAAACUUUUCUGCUGCAGCCACAAUACUAUCUAGUUUCUUCGAGUUAUUUGAGACUUGUGCGUACAAUUUAUAACCGUGGCAAUGAACUCAACAAAAAAAAAAAAAACAUUUUAAUAUCAGUAUGUGUACAGUAGAUGGCGCUAUAUCCCCACGGAUGGUGUGGGACUCAAUCAGAAGAAUUGCAAUGCAGUGUCGUGGCGCAGCGGUCUAUGGCGGUCUAUGGCGGUCUAUGGCACUGCAUCUCAGUGCAAGAGGUGUCACUACAGUCCCCGGUUUGAAUCCAGGCUGUAUCACAUCCGGUCGUGAUUGGGAGUCCCAUAGGGCGGCGCACAAUUGGCCCAGUGUCAUCUGGGGGGCACUCCAGGAACUUGGGAUCAUGAUCCCCACCACAAAUGCAACACAUUCGUCCUUUUAUAUUAUACUCUGUUCGUCUGCACACACUUGAAACAUGAUCAAAUCCUUCACAAUUCUUACACUGCAGUGGUCUGGGGACGAAAGCUCUUACAUAACUGUAGUGUCUUAGCUCUUAUUACUUAUUUAUAAAAUAAGAAAGACUCUGAAUGCAAAGAAAUUAACUGGAGCUUCACAUUUACUAAAACGAGUUGGUUCCAGAAUAACAUAGAACAACACUGCGCAUGACCAAGGUUGCGCCAUUCUUAAAGGGGACAUCAGCAAUUAACAGAACAUAACAAUAACCAAGCUUUACAUGCGUAGGUAUUUGCUCUUUAUCAAAAAACAACAGGACUGCCAUACUUUAUUAUUUUUCCUCCAUUCACCCAGCGGGUCAGACUCCGGGCACCAGCCACACCAGGAAUUAUUUUCAGGUAUUCAACCUGAACAUCCGUCGUCACCCCUGAGAUGACUCUUUUGAUGGGUGUCUCUACUCCGAAGUUCAAAACACAAAACUUCUGUUGUCCAGAUUCUUUUGAGGCCCACUGCAAUCUUCCUCUGCUCUUCAGAAAUAAAAGUAAUUUAAAUAAGACCACUCCUGGUCCCUCUAACAGACUCCACUUUUCCAAGCGCAUACUUCACAAUUUGACGCUUCAAAGCGAGGUACACAACAAACGCAUCCUUACUCAAGAAGCGAUUCGUUAUCAUUUACUGUUCCAGUUGUAGACAAUUACCAUGUUUUUCUCAAUUCAGUUUCCGUUACUACUGUUGUCCAUUCAGAACAUUCGCUGCCUAAUUCGAACUCAGCAUCCUCUUCCGCCAUCUUUCUCUCCACUGAAAAGAUCUGACCGAGUACUUCUUUCUUUGAGGUUUUAUGGCAGACUACACCUAUUGGUGUAUUGCCGCCACCUACUCUACGGGUUAUUGAAACAAAACAAACAAUCAUGUGUUCCAUUGCUGAAGGGGAGGGGGGAUAAUGCAAAAUAUACAAAUAAAUAAAUCAAACAACCAUCCCAUUUCAGUCACAUUCAAAUCCCAUCCUUACACAGACGGAGCAUUCAUCAACAGUAUUCCCGAGUCCCCAAAAACG